Molecule: ribosomal RNA, 207 nt
Filed under: uncultured bacterium
Lineage: Bacteria
Description: partial 16S ribosomal RNA
Rfam family: Bacterial small subunit ribosomal RNA
Source: RNAcentral
CACGUAGGCGGUUUCCUAAGUCAGAGGUGAAAUCCAGUGGCUCAACCACUGGCCUGCCUUUGAAACUGGGGAACUUGAGGCCGUGAGAGGAAAGCGGAAUUCCUGGUGUAUCGGUGAAAUGAGUUGAUAUCUGGAGGAACACCGGUGGCGAAGGCGGCUUUCUGGUGCGGUUCUGACGCUGAGGUGCGAAAGCAUGGGGAGCAAACG